Molecule: ribosomal RNA, 783 nt
Filed under: Triticum aestivum (bread wheat)
Lineage: Eukaryota; Viridiplantae; Streptophyta; Magnoliopsida; Poales; Poaceae
Description: partial small subunit ribosomal RNA
Source: RNAcentral
AUGAAGAAUCGAAAAACUAUAGAUUUUAUCAGUGGCGUGACAGAGUUCAUGAAUUUGGCUGAAAGUACAAAGAGGAGAAUUGGUGAUGCAGAUUACAUCCUGUGUCCAUGUACUGAUUGUGCCAAUACAGAGUCACAUGAAGUUGCAGAUGUCCAUAUGCACUUAGUCUCUAGGGGAUUCAUGGAUGGAUAUACACGUUGGACCAGACACGGUGAAGAGGAGGUCAUGGAUGAAGAUACCAAGGGUAGAGAGAUGCCAAACCCCGAUCAGUGUCACAUGGAUGUUGAAUCUAACAUCGGGGCAGAGGCGUCAAGCUACCAAUGGAACACCGGAAAUCCGAAACGCCCACUGGAAAACCAAGACGUUGAUGCAGAUGACGACGAUUUUGAUAUGCCAGAUUUUGCUGCUAUGAUUGCAGAUUUCGAGUGCCCAGAUAAGCAUAUGAUUGGGUACAAGGAUCUGCCAACCAUUGAUGCGGACUCCAAGAAAGAAUUGUAUCCAGGUUGCAAAAAGAAAUAUUCCAGGUUGAGUGCCACCCUGGCGCUUCUCAGAUUUAAAGCAGCAAACGGUCUAUCAAACAAGGGCUUCACAGAGAUGUUAGGUCUUUUCAAAGAAAUUCUUCCUGAAGAUAAUGUGCUCCCCAGAAGCACGAAUGAAGCGAAGAAAAUUGUUUGCACAUUGGAACUUGAAGUAGAGAAGAUACACGCUUGUGUGAAUGAUUGUAUAUUGUACCGUGGUGAGUACGAAGAUUUUCAUGCAUGUCCCACAUGCAAGCAUGCAUGA